This 250-nucleotide ribosomal RNA is filed under the name uncultured soil bacterium. RNAcentral describes it as "partial 16S ribosomal RNA". It matches the Rfam family "Bacterial small subunit ribosomal RNA", at positions 26 to 278 of the family's 1533-position model. The record is from RNAcentral.
AGGACGAACGCUGGCGGCGUGCUUAACACAUGCAAGUCGAGCGGUAAGGCCCUUUCGGGGGUACACGAGCGGCGAACGGGUGAGUAACACGUGAGCAAUCUGCCCUUCACUUCGGGAUAAGCCUCGGAAACGGGGUCUAAUACCGGAUAUGACCGCGCUACGCAUGUGGUGUGGUGGAAAGUUCUGGCGGUGGAGGAUGAGCUCGCGGCCUAUCAGCUUGUUGGUGGGGUAAUGGCCUACCAAGGCUUCG